This 486-nucleotide ribosomal RNA is filed under the name Leiophasma nigrolineatum. Its description in RNAcentral is "partial 28S large subunit ribosomal RNA". The record is from RNAcentral. Lineage: Eukaryota; Metazoa; Arthropoda; Insecta; Phasmatodea; Anisacanthidae.
CGAAAGGGAUUGGAUUCAACAUCAAUCCGGUAUUCAGGGCACCUGACCCCACCAGAUGUUGCUGGUCGCCCGCGGUGGUUAAUUCUGCUUGCGGUGUCGUGCCCGGGGAUCACUCGGCAGGGUGGUGUCUCUGCCGCCGGGGGUGCGCACUUCCUCCCUAGUAGAAACGUCGCGACCCGUUGGGUGCCGGUCGAAGGCCUGGGAUGGCAGCCCGUGUGUCCUGUGGGGGUUCCCACAGGCGCGUGGACUCCUGGUGACCCAGCCGGCUGCCCGACGGUAGGACCAGAGGAGUCGAUCCGCUGAAAGUGAAACACUUUGGUUGUGUAGCGUCCAGCCCGGUGCCACUGUGCGUGGGGAUUGAGGUGCAAACCGGGGGUGUCCGUGCGAAGCAUGGCCCCGGCCCCACUGCGCUGUUGGUUGCUGGUGUCCUUGGACUGGAUCGAGACUCCCGUCUGCGACGCCCAUUUUCGGAUGGUCUCCCGACCC